Long non-coding RNA from Hemibagrus wyckioides, 1668 nucleotides. RefSeq lists it as uncharacterized. NCBI's taxonomy places the organism in Eukaryota, Metazoa, Chordata, Actinopteri, Siluriformes, Bagridae. The transcript has 3 exons. The record is from RefSeq and is a predicted model, not a curated record.
AGCGAAUGCUGCAGCGUGGGUUGGACACGGUGCAGUCCAGUAAGACCCGAGUGUUUUCCAGAGCUGUUUUGUCUUCCAGCGGCUUUACGAUGUUCACAGGAAGUUCUGCAAGAAUAUAACCUUGUAAGCUAUAGACUCAACAUUCUUGGCAACAAACUUGAUUUCUCCUGAAUCCUCUUCCUUGACAUUGCACAUAAGAAGGAAGUGCUUGGUGCCUGUGUAACAGGAAUAAAUAUGACUGGAACUACAGGAAUCUUAUUGCAUCAGGUGGCAGUGUUGUACUGAAAGACAGUGGGCAGUGCAUCUACAGCAUGAAGUGUUCACACACCAGCGUGCAGCAGUGUUACAGUUUUAUGACUGUCAAGAUGUUCUUUCCUUACCGUAAACUUCCACAGAGCAGGAAGUGGUGGCAUCUCCGGCAUCGCAUACAUAUAAUCCAGAAUCUCCAAGCUCACAUCUCACAAUCUGCAGGAAGCACUUCCUCCCCAUGGAGUAGAUACGAUGAUUCUUCCCUGGCUUAAGUUCUUCUCCAUUCUAUUUCAGACAAGACCACCACUAAAUUUCAGGCUAUCAAAAUAUUUAAUCCUAUUUAUGACAUGUUAUUUUUAUGAAAGUGAAAUGUAACGUAUGUAAUCAUAUGUGGUUAAGUAAUAUGUGUUUAUAAGGAUAAUGCAUCAUUAGCUCAUCAAAUACUAUUACUACUACUGAUGCUACUAAUAAUGAUGGCAUGUAAAAAAUAAUUGUGAAAGUCUUUUAUUUAUGUAAUUCUGCAGCUUUCUUACCUUUGUCCACUUAAUAGUGACAUUGUAUUUGGACACCUCACACUCCAGUGUGGCUCCUGUACCCUCUGGGAAAGUCCUAUCCUCCAGCUUUUUCAAAAUGGACACCGGUGUUUCUGAACAAAUUGAGUGGAAAAUGGUUUUUAAUUGUAAAGAAAAAACAAAACAAAAAUAAAACAGCACACACGAAGAAAUGAAGGUCCAGUUUCCUCUAAGUUACUUAUGGUAAAAAGUAGCUUAGCAGUUAUGGUGCUGUACUGGUGACUUUAAACGCCCGGAUCACCAGAGAGCCACUCCUGGGACCUGGAAUAAGAGUCAUAACCCUCAUCUGCCAAGCUAUGUGGAUUGGAUUCUCGCUAAGUCUUUCACCUAGGCAGAAUCCAAUCCACAUAGCUUGGCAGAUAGAUGUUAGGGCUCUUUCUUUGAAUUGAAGCAAAUAUAAUUAUUUAAAGAGUUCAUAGUUUAUUUGAUCUAAUAUUAGAGCGACGCAUUGCUUUUCACAGUUUUUUAGGUUGAAGUUUUUCCCCCUGACAUUUAAUAAACAUUUGAUUAGAUAUAACCAGCAUAUAGAAUACUUGGUGUACAUUUAUUGACUGUAGCAUUAUAUUCUUUUGCCACAAACAAAUGAAUUAUUAGAAAUAUGCAAAUAAACUACACUGAUCAUAACUUUAUGACCACCUGUGUUGGUCCCCCUUUUGCUGCCCUGACCCAUCCUGCACUGUAUAUUCUGACACCUUUCUAUCAGAACCAGCAUUAACUUCUUCAGCAAUUUGAGCAACGGUAGUUCGACUGUUGGAUCGGAUCACACGGGCCAGGCUUCUUUCCUCACAAGAAUCAGUGAGCCUUGGCCGCCCAUGACCCUGUCGCCGGUUCACCACUGUUCCUUCCA